RNAcentral lists this ribosomal RNA (495 nucleotides) under uncultured bacterium. RNAcentral describes it as "bacterial SSU rRNA". It matches the Rfam family "Bacterial small subunit ribosomal RNA", at positions 903 to 1397 of the family's 1533-position model. The record is from RNAcentral.
AAAUGAAUAGACGGGGACCCGCACAAGCAGCGGAGCAUGUGGUUUAAUUCGAAGCAACGCGAAGAACCUUACCAGGGCUUGACAUGCCCCUGACCGGUCUAGAGAUAGACCUUUACCUUCGGGUACAGGGGACACAGGUGGUGCAUGGUUGUCGUCAGCUCGUGUCGUGAGAUGUUGGGUUAAGUCCCGCAACGAGCGCAACCCUUGCCUUUAGUUGCCAUCAUUAAGUUGGGCACUCUAGAGGGACUGCCGAUGACAAAUCGGAGGAAGGUGGGGAUGACGUCAAAUCAUCAUGCCCUUUAUGUCCUGGGCUACACACGUGCUACAAUGGUCGGUACAACGAGUCGCUACCUAGCAAUAGGAUGCUAAUCUCUAAAAGCCGAUCCCAGUUCGGAUUGUAGGCUGCAACUCGCCUACAUGAAGUUGGAGUUGCUAGUAAUCGCGAAUCAGAAUGUCGCGGUGAAUGCGUUCCCGGGUCUUGUACACACCGCCCGU